AGUGAACGCUGGCGGUAGGCCUAACACAUGCAAGUCGAACGGCAGCACAGGAGAGCUUGCUCUCUGGGUGGCGAGUGGCGGACAGGUGAGGAAUACAUCGGAAUCUACUCUGUCGUGGGGGAUAACGUAGGGAAACUUACGCUAAUACCGCAUACGACCUACGGGUGAAAGCAGGGGAUCUUCGGACCUCGCGCGAUUGAAUGAGCCGAUGUCGGAUUAGCUAGUUGGCGGGGUAAAGGCCCACCAAGGCGACGAUCCGUAGCUGGUCUGAGAGUAUGAGCAGGCACACUGGAACUGAGACACGGUCCAGACUCCGACGGGAGGCAGCAGUGGGGAAUAUUGGACAAUGGGCGCAAGCCUGAUCCAGCCAUACCGCGUGGGUGAAGAAGGCCUUCGGGUUGUAAAGCCCUUUUGUUGGGAAAGAAAUCCAGCUGGCUAAUACCCGGUUGGGAUGACGGUACCCAAAGAAUAAGCACCGGCUAACUUCGUGCCAGCCGCCGCGGUAA
Molecule: ribosomal RNA, 506 nt
Filed under: uncultured bacterium
Lineage: Bacteria
Description: partial 16S ribosomal RNA
Rfam family: Bacterial small subunit ribosomal RNA
Source: RNAcentral